AUGAUCCGGGUAAAAAAGAGGGGAAAGUGGUUUUUUUCUUCUCCAUGGCAUCCCAGCCCUAAAACCCCAUCCUGGCUCUGGAGAAUUUCCAGCCCCCAAACCCCAUCCUGGCUCUGGAGAAUGUUCCAGCCUCAAAACCCCAUCCUGGGCUGCAUCCCUGGCUCUGGAGACCGUUCCAGCCCCAAAAACCCAUCCCGGGCUGCAUCUCUGGCUCCGGAGCAUAAGGAAACACCAACAGCAGAGGGAUUUAGGGAAUGUGACCCUUUAUUUGCCACAGCCCGGGCAGCGCCAGCCCGGCUCUUGCCAGGCUCCGGAGGACACCGGGGAAUCUUUGGGAGCCCCGCGGAGGUGGGAGGGAGCCGGUCCUGGCAUGGCCUUUGCUGCCGGAGCCGGGACGAGGCGAGGGCCCCGCUGUCACUUCAUCUUCUGCUGCGGCAUCUGCAGCACCUGCUGCUGCUGCUGCUGCUGCUGGCCCUGCAUCUGCGGCUUCCCGUGGCAGCCGCCGCCUCCCGAGCUGUGACAGCCGCCGCCACCGGAGCUGUGGCAGCCGCCACCUCCCGAGCUGUGACAGCCGCCGCCACCGGAGCUGUGGCAGCCACCGGAGCUGCCCCCGGAGCUGUGGCAGCCCCCGGAGCUGCCCCCGGAGCUGUGGCAGCCGCCGCCCCCCGAGCUGUGGCAGCCGCCGCUGCUCUGGCGCUGCUGCCGGUGGCACUGGUCCUUGUCCUGGCGGGAGCACAUGGUGCUGUGCUGGGUGACCUGUGGGGACACAGCAGCUGGCAGGGGCCUUUCCUUCCUGCUCCCGCCCUUCCAAGCAAGAGGAAUCCCGGUGUUCCUUUUCCCAGUCUCAGCCAGAUCCCAUAUUUCUGUUCAAAGAUUGCUCUGGAUCCUUUCCCCCCCUGGCAUUGUCCCACACAAGGCGCUGGGGACACCCAGGCCAUGCCUGGCUUUCCAAAGCCAGACCCAAACCCUCCCUCCACAUCCCCAUCUCUGCUCCCUCCUCACCCACCCCAGAACAAAUCCCAGCCCCGUUCAGGUGCAGGGAUCCAAACUCACCCUCCCCACCUGAAGGUUCUGGAGCCCCCCAGCUCUUACCUGAGCUGCUCGUGCAGGAAGAGACGAGGAGAGAUGAGAGGGAAUGAGGCUUUUGGGGACAGGAGCACUUUUAUACCCUCUCUGCACACCCCACCUGGAGAAGCCCCUCCCUGUCCCACAGCUCUGCCCGUUCAUUUAAUUCGCAGGUGGCUUUUUUUUUUUUUUAUUUUUUUGCCUCCCCAUUCCUCGGGCUUCUGGGGUGACUCACCUGAUCCACGCUGGGAUUGCCUCUCCUUCUAG
RNAcentral lists this long non-coding RNA (1332 nucleotides) under Chloebia gouldiae (Gouldian finch). RNAcentral's name for it is "Erythrura gouldiae (Gouldian finch) lncRNA (ENSEGOG00005013610.1)". The record is from RNAcentral. Lineage: Eukaryota; Metazoa; Chordata; Aves; Passeriformes; Passeridae.